RNAcentral lists this ribosomal RNA (253 nucleotides) under uncultured bacterium. Its description in RNAcentral is "partial 16S ribosomal RNA". It matches the Rfam family "Bacterial small subunit ribosomal RNA", at positions 524 to 776 of the family's 1533-position model. The record is from RNAcentral.
UACGUAGGUGGCAAGCGUUGUCCGGAAUUACUGGGCGUAAAGAGCGCGCAGGCGGCUGGUCAAGUCCGAUGUGAAAGCUCCCGGCUUAACUGGGAAAUUGCAUCGGAAACUGAUCGGCUUGAAGGUGGGAGAGGGUAGUGGAAUUCCCGGUGUAGUGGUGAAAUGCGUAGAUAUCGGGAGGAACACCAGUGGCGAAGGCGACUACCUGGCCCACUCUUGACGCUGAGGAGCGAAAGCGUGGGUAGCAAACAGG